UACUGCUGCCUUCCUCCACUUUUUCCCAUUUUCAAAGCCCAAAUCCCUAGCUUACCACCACCUCCACCGAUCCACCGAUCCAGUUGUCUGUCGGCCACCUCCAGCUAACCUCAAGCUCAGCUCAACUUCUUCAUUUUUGCUUCUUCUUUUGCAGUCUCAGUAGUCGAUCCAGUUGUCUCUAGCUUCUUCAUCUGCAAUCUCGGUGCUCCCCAAAGUUUGGUCUUUACUAAGGCUCCUCAUAUUGCUGGCUGCUACUGUUGAAGACUGUUGCUGUGCCUUACUUUAUCUUAGAAAGUCUUUUCUUCACGGUAAGCUUCUUCUUCUUCUUCUUCUUCUUCUUCUUCACUGCUGCAUCUUCUUCUUGCAGGUUUUUGACAGUGCAUCUUCUUCUUACUGUAAUUAUUUUGGUGCUCUCUUUCAUUAUAUCUCUUUUCUUAUAUUUUCUCAUCCGCACCACCCGAGUCCACUAUCUUUCACAUUUAUCUUAUAUUUUCUUAUAUUUUUCUUAUAUUUAUGAUACUUAUUAUUAUAAUAAUAAUGCAUGUGGACUAAUUGACUCCUGUAGGUGUAUGCUUCUGUUCUGCUUCUAUGUUUACUAUUUUUUAAGCUUUAUAUUUUAUUUCAAUAGUAUUUUAAUUUUAAAUUCUACAUUCAAAAUUCUUUUAAAUAAAAUUUCAGAACAUAAAAUUUUAAUUUAGAACCAAAUAAGUUAGUAAACUUUAAUUUAUAUUUAAAUAAAAAGCUUUAAAUUAAAUUGUCUUCGUUUGAAACAUUUAUUUUAAAUUCACAUUUAAAAUAAAAUAAAACAAUUAUUUGCAGGAUUGUCGAAACCAUUUUUUUAUUUAAUAAAAGGAGAUCGACUUUUAAAAUAAAGUGUGGAGUCGCCACCAAUCUUUUUGUUUAGGUGUGAUUGGAUCACCUAAUAAAAUAUUUUGUUCCAUUUAAAUCAAUUUUAGUCCACGUAAAUUUAAAAAAUGGGUUCGGGAGCCGGUUACGUAUGAGGAAGGGUUAGCACCCUCACUAUGCCC
RNAcentral lists this long non-coding RNA (1028 nucleotides) under Gossypium barbadense (sea-island cotton). Its description in RNAcentral is "long non-coding RNA (GBAR_LNC009553)". The record is from RNAcentral. Lineage: Eukaryota; Viridiplantae; Streptophyta; Magnoliopsida; Malvales; Malvaceae.